CAUGUUGCAUGCUGGUUUUAAGUCUACCGUUGACGGUUACAAUUUUAUAGCUUAUACUCCAAUUGUCAAUGGAGAAAUUGCAUUGUAUUUUUACUUCCAGAACCCGCUGUGGGCGGGACUUUUGAGCUCUCUUUAUUCCACU
Long non-coding RNA from Etheostoma cragini (Arkansas darter), 142 nucleotides. RefSeq lists it as uncharacterized. Lineage: Eukaryota; Metazoa; Chordata; Actinopteri; Perciformes; Percidae. The transcript has 3 exons. The record is from RefSeq and is a predicted model, not a curated record.